Molecule: ribosomal RNA, 253 nt
Filed under: uncultured bacterium
Lineage: Bacteria
Description: partial 16S ribosomal RNA
Rfam family: Bacterial small subunit ribosomal RNA
Source: RNAcentral
UACGUAGGGGGCAAGCGUUGUCCGGAUUUAUUGGGCGUAAAGAGCGUGUUGGCGGCCAGAUAGGUCUGUUGUGAAAACUCGAGGCUCAACCUCGAGACGCCGAUGGAAACCCUCCAGCUAGAGUCCGGAAGAGGAGAGUGGAAUUCCUGGUGUAGCGGUGAAAUGCGCAGAUAUCAGGAAGAACACCCGUGGCUAAGGCGGCUCUCUAGUACGGUACUGACGCUGAGACGCGAAAGCGUGGGGAGCGAACAGG